AAUGAACGUUGGCGGCGUGGAUUAGGCAUGCAAGUCGAGCGAGAACCGUAGCAAUACGGGGACAGCGGCGAAAGGGAGAGUAAUGCGUGGAUACCUACCCUCAGGUUUGGGAUAGCUACGGGAAACUGUAGGUAAUACCGAAUAAUAUCUCCGGAUCAAAGGUGUGAUUCCGCCGGAGGAAGGGUCCGCGUCCUAUUAGCUUGUUGGCGAGGUAACGGCUCACCAAGGCAAAGAUGGGUAUGGGGUGUGAGAGCAUGACCCCACUCACUGGGACUGAGACACUGCCCAGACACCUACGGGAGGCAG
RNAcentral lists this ribosomal RNA (306 nucleotides) under uncultured Planctomycetota bacterium. Its description in RNAcentral is "bacterial SSU rRNA". It matches the Rfam family "Bacterial small subunit ribosomal RNA", at positions 29 to 351 of the family's 1533-position model. Lineage: Bacteria; Pseudomonadati; Planctomycetota. The record is from RNAcentral.